This 94-nucleotide ribosomal RNA is filed under the name Ochotona princeps (American pika). The record is from RNAcentral. Lineage: Eukaryota; Metazoa; Chordata; Mammalia; Lagomorpha; Ochotonidae.
GUUUAUCGCCACGCCAUCCUGAGCGCGCCCAAUCUCGUCUGAUCUCAGAAGCUAAGCAGGGUCAGUCCUGGUUAGUACUUGGGUGGGAGAAAUC